Molecule: small RNA, 28 nt
Filed under: Bombyx mori (domestic silkworm)
Lineage: Eukaryota; Metazoa; Arthropoda; Insecta; Lepidoptera; Bombycidae
Description: ovarian small RNA-28093
Source: RNAcentral
UCCUUUACGAUAACUAGAUCACCCACUU